This 497-nucleotide ribosomal RNA is filed under the name uncultured bacterium. RNAcentral's name for it is "partial 16S ribosomal RNA". It matches the Rfam family "Bacterial small subunit ribosomal RNA", at positions 28 to 507 of the family's 1533-position model. The record is from RNAcentral.
GACGAACGCUGGCGGCGUGCCUAAUACAUGCAAGUUGAGCGCUGAAGGUUGGUACUUGUACCAACUGGAUGAGCAGCGAACGGGUGAGUAACGCGUGGGGAAUCUGCCUUUGAGCGGGGGACAACAUUUGGAAACGAAUGCUAAUACCGCAUAAAAACUUUAAACACAAGUUUUAAGUUUGAAAGAUGCAAUUGCAUCACUCAAAGAUGAUCCCGCGUUGUAUUAGCUAGUUGGUGAGGUAAAGGCUCACCAAGGCGAUGAUACAUAGCCGACCUGAGAGGGUGAUCGGCCACCUUGGGACUGAGACACGGCCCAAACUCCUACGGGAGGCAGCAGUAGGGAAUCUUCGGAGAUGGACGAAAGGCUGACCGAGCAACGCCGCGUGAGUGAAGAAGGUUUUCGGAUCGUAAAACUCUGUUGGUAGAGAAGAACGUUGGUGAGAGUGGAAAGCUCAUCAAGUGACGGUAACUACCCAGAAAGGGACGGCUAACUACGUG